CCUACGGGAGGCAGCAGUGAGGAAUAUUGGUCAAUGGACGAGAGUCUGAACCAGCCAAGUAGCGUGAAGGAUGACUGCCCUAUGGGUUGUAAACUUCUUUUAUAUGGGAAUAAAAUGUUCCACGUGUGGGAUUUUGUAUGUACCAUAUGAAUAAGGAUCGGCUAACUCCGUGCCAGCAGCCGCGGUAAUACGGAGGAUCCGAGCGUUAUCCGGAUUUAUUGGGUUUAAAGGGAGCGUAGGUGGAUUGUUAAGUCAGUUGUGAAAGUUUGCGGCUCAACCGUAAAAUUGCAGUUGAAACUGGCAGUCUUGAGUACAGUAGAGGUGGGCGGAAUUCGUGGUGUAGCGGUGAAAUGCUUAGAUAUCACGAAGAACUCCGAUUGCGAAGGCAGUUCACUGGACUGCAACUGACACUGAGGCUCGAAAGUGUGGAUAUCAAACAGGAUUAGAUACCCCUGUAGUC
RNAcentral lists this ribosomal RNA (460 nucleotides) under uncultured bacterium. RNAcentral describes it as "partial 16S ribosomal RNA". It matches the Rfam family "Bacterial small subunit ribosomal RNA", at positions 338 to 795 of the family's 1533-position model. The record is from RNAcentral.